Molecule: ribosomal RNA, 375 nt
Filed under: uncultured bacterium
Lineage: Bacteria
Description: bacterial SSU rRNA
Rfam family: Bacterial small subunit ribosomal RNA
Source: RNAcentral
AUACGAAGGGGGCUAGCGUUGUUCGGAAUCACUGGGCGUAAAGCGCACGUAGGCGGAUUUGCCAGUCAGGGGUGAAAUCCCGGGGCUCAACCUCGGAACUGCCUUUGAUACAGCAAGUCUAGAGUCCGGAAGAGGUGAGUGGAAUUCCUAGUGUAGAGGUGAAAUUCGUAGAUAUUAGGAGGAACACCAGUGGCGAAGGCGGCUCACUGGUCCGGCACUGACGCUGAGGUGCGAAAGCGUGGGGAGCAAGCAGGAUUAGAUACCCUGGUAGUCCACGCCGUAAACGAUGGAUGCUAGCCGUUGGCAAGCUUGCUUGUCGGUGGCGCAGCUAACGCAUUAAGCAUCCCGCCUGGGGAGUACGGCCGCAAGGUUAAA